Molecule: transfer RNA, 67 nt
Filed under: Marmota monax (woodchuck)
Lineage: Eukaryota; Metazoa; Chordata; Mammalia; Rodentia; Sciuridae
Description: tRNA.Thr
Source: RNAcentral
GUUGUGCUCAGUGGUAGAGUGCUGGCCUAGUGCAUGCAAGGCCCUGGGUUCAAUCCUUAGCACAACA